This 234-nucleotide ribosomal RNA is filed under the name uncultured bacterium. RNAcentral's name for it is "partial 16S ribosomal RNA". It matches the Rfam family "Bacterial small subunit ribosomal RNA", at positions 104 to 334 of the family's 1533-position model. The record is from RNAcentral.
CGGGACGGGGUGGAGUAAUGUCUGGGAAACUGCCUGAUGAGGGGGGAUAACUACUGAAACGGUAGCUAAUACCGCAUAACGUCGCAAGACCAAAGAGGGGGACCUUCGGGCCUCUUGCCAUCGGAUGUGCCCAGAUGGGAUUAGCUAGUAGGUGGGGUAACGGCUCACCUAGGCGACGAUCCCUAGCUGGUCUGAGAGGAUGACCAGCCACACUGGAACUGAGACACGGUCCAG